UCCUACCUGAUUAUGUCUUGUAGAUUCUAAUAGUAUUCUGGGAGAUGCCUUUACAUGUCAACACAGUAGAGGAAAAAUCAACGGUGACGAGAGAAGAAGAGCUUGGGAUUUCCUCAGGACCCUCUUGAUGAUCUGAGUAGACUGGAAAUGUAUGAUGAAAUACCCUAACCUGUUUCCAA
Molecule: long non-coding RNA, 179 nt
Filed under: Mus spicilegus (steppe mouse)
Lineage: Eukaryota; Metazoa; Chordata; Mammalia; Rodentia; Muridae
Description: lncRNA (ENSMSIG00000015622.1)
Source: RNAcentral